GAUGAACGCUGACAGAAUGCUUAACACAUGCAAGUCAACUGUGGCGGACGGGUGAGUAACGCGUAAAGAACUUGCCUCACCGGUAGGGACAACAUUUGGAAACGAAUGCUAAUACAUAAUAUUGUGAGAGAGCUUUGCGUACCAUUAGCUCGUUGGAGAGGUAACGGCUCUCGAAGGCGAUGAUGGGUAGCCGGCCUGAGAGGGGGAUCGGCCACAAGAGGACUGGGACACGGCCCUUGGUCAUACGGGAUGAAGCAGAGUGGGAUAUUGGACAAUGGACCAAAGUCUGAGCCAGCAAUUCUGUGUGCACGAUGAAGUUUUCGGAAGGUAAAGUGCUUUCAGUUGGGAAGCGGUACCAACAGAAGAAGUGACGGCUAAAUACGUGCCAGCAGCCGCGGUAAUUC
RNAcentral lists this ribosomal RNA (404 nucleotides) under uncultured bacterium. RNAcentral describes it as "partial 16S ribosomal RNA". It matches the Rfam family "Bacterial small subunit ribosomal RNA", at positions 28 to 526 of the family's 1533-position model. The record is from RNAcentral.